This is an RNA transcript of Populus trichocarpa (black cottonwood), 1768 nucleotides long. RefSeq lists it as uncharacterized. Lineage: Eukaryota; Viridiplantae; Streptophyta; Magnoliopsida; Malpighiales; Salicaceae. The record is from RefSeq and is a predicted model, not a curated record. The transcript is spliced from 9 exons.
UGGACACUUUGUUUUCUCGCAGUCUCACUCUCUCUCAGGUAUGUCUAUCUCUCUCAGUCUGUAUAGCCGUUAAAAAACUUCCUCUUCUCCAAACCAAAAUAAAAGAAAAGAAAAGGAAAGAUUGUCUCCUGCGUGCUCUCCCGCUAAUUAUCCCUCUAGUCUCUAACACAAAUAGCUUCUUCAAUUCAGUGGUAAAAUUAAUGGGGAGUAGGGUUCCAGUGCAGCACUGCAACCUGAGAUCAGCUGGAUCCUUCAUUGCCACCAACUCUCUCCAUGAUCUCAACACCGUCGAUUCUCGUCCCUCUAACCUCGAUUCCAUGUCCGCAGACGCCGAUCAUACCUUAAACGCAGACGAUGAUUCCGACGCUGUUGACUGCAUUCAUGAUUCCUAUAGCAAUUCCUUACCACUUCACAGUGUAGGAGUCGAAGAAGAUCACACUAGUCUUGAGAAUACUGGGUCUUCUGGAGGUGCAUACGAUAUAUUGACAUUUGAUGAUGUUUCACCUAUCGAAUCUGCAAGAGCAAGAUUUUUGCAAAUAAUUGUGGAUCACUUUAUUAGUGACCAUGUGAUUGAAGUAGCUGAUAAUGAGUCAGAGUAUGCUGCUCACCCGGGACAGGAUAAACUAACUAAGAGGAAAUCUGGAGAUGUGCAAUAUGAAGGUGAUCCGAGGUUCGCUUUGCCGUUGAUGUAUGUUGCUAAUAUGUAUGAAACUCUAGUGAAUGAUGUGAAUAUGAGACUGGCUUCUUUGAAUGGUGUUCGUGAUAAGACCAUUGGAGUAGCCCUUGAAGCAGCUGGUGGUUUGUAUAGAAGAAUGGCCAAGAAAUUUCCCAAAAAAGGUUCUUGUAUAUUUAAAAGAAGAGAAUUGGCAACUUCUCUUGAAACAAGGACCAGAUUUCCAGAAUUAGUAAUACAAGAAGAGAAGAGAGUUCGCUUCGUGGUGGUCAAUGGUUUAGAUAUAGUUGAGAAACCAAGUAGUAUGCCUAUUGUAGAUGCUGAGUGGUUUAGACGAUUGACAGGUCGAAGUGAAGUUGCCGUCUCUGCUCAAGAUUAUAAAUUCUACUCCCCGAGGCACAAGUUUAGGCGUGUUUUGUCUAAUAUUCCUGGUUUGGCUACACUUCCUACAGAAGAUAAUUCUUCAACAAUGACUACUGCACAAGGAUUCCGAUCUCCACAAAACGAGCAGCAGACUCCUUCGAAGCAUCAUGUGCAACUGUUGUCACAUCAACCUCAGUUUCACCCAAUAAACCAGAACCAUCAUCAAGAAGUUCACCAAAGUCAACAUGCAACCCAAUUUUCUCAAAAUCAUCAAUGUGGGCCACCUUCACACAUGCCUGAAAUUGCUCAUGCUACCCAUUCUCCAACCAUUCCUCAGCACAUGGUCUACUUGCAGCCCCUCACAGGAGGCCAUGUUGGAGGGCGCUUGCAUUCAAUGUUGGAACCCCUCGUUCCCGUGGAAUGAAUCCAUGCAAAGGCAAGAUCUGAUGAUCCAAAUUCUUCUGUACAAACCCAGACAAAGCUAACUGCCUACGAGUCCUCCGAAGUAUUGUGAUGAAUGUGGAGCUCCAUAUCUAAGAGAAACCUCCAAGUUCUGUUCCGAAUGUGGUACAAAGAGGCUAGGAACAUGAAACUAUGGUAAAAAAUAUCCUUUUCUGAUCCUAUGAUAUACUCAUCUCCGCCAUUGUAAAAUUGUAGGUGCUUGAUAUGAGUUGACUGUUAACUUUUUGUAAAAUAUCUGAACUUCUAUUUUUAAGUAUUUUUGAUUUUUUA